Molecule: long non-coding RNA, 135 nt
Organism: Varanus komodoensis (Komodo dragon)
Lineage: Eukaryota; Metazoa; Chordata; Lepidosauria; Squamata; Varanidae
Exons: 3
Source: RefSeq, a predicted model, not a curated record
CCCUAUAUUAGGGUUAGGGGUGUGCACCAGGGUAGGGUUAGGGCAGAGGUGGUGAACCUAUGGCGCACGUUCCACAGCGGGCAUGCAGAGCCCUCUCUGUUGGCAUGCGAGCCAAGUCGCCCCAGCAUCGCCCCA